GACGAACGCUGGCGGCGUGCCUAACACAUGCAAGUCGAGCGAUGAAGUUCUUCGGAACGGAUUAGCGGCGGACGGGUGAGUAACGCGUGAGCAAUCUGCCUUACACAAAGGGAUAGCCUCGGGAAACUGGGAUUAAUACCAUAUGACACUUGGUAAUCGCAUGAGGACCAAGUCAAAGAUUUUAUCGGUGUAAGAUGAGCUCGCGUCUGAUUAGCUAGUUGGUGGGGUAAAGGCCUACCAAGGCGACGAUCAGUAGCCGGCCUGAGAGGGUGAACGGCCACACUGGAACUGAGACACGGUCCAGACUCCUACGGGAGGCAGCAGUGGGGAAUAUUGCACAAUGGGCGCAAGCCUGAUGCAGCGACGCCGCGUGAGCGAAGAAGGUUUUCGGAUCGUAAAGCUCUGUCCUCUGGGAAGAAAAAAUGACGGUACCAGAGGAGGAAGCCCCGGCUAACUACGUGCCAGCAGCCGCGGUAAUCCACGAGAGUA
RNAcentral lists this ribosomal RNA (489 nucleotides) under uncultured bacterium. Its description in RNAcentral is "bacterial SSU rRNA". It matches the Rfam family "Bacterial small subunit ribosomal RNA", at positions 28 to 534 of the family's 1533-position model. The record is from RNAcentral.